Molecule: long non-coding RNA, 836 nt
Organism: Lingula anatina
Lineage: Eukaryota; Metazoa; Brachiopoda; Lingulata; Lingulida; Lingulidae
Source: RefSeq, a predicted model, not a curated record
GGUGCUCAGAUAUGACCAAGGUCAGUAGAAGAUGGAGAAGAAGGAUGUCCCAUGCCAUACUGCUACUGCCACACGUAGACCGAAAAGAUGGCACUGAACCCGGCAGCAGUAUCUCUGACACUAAGUACCGUUUAUGAAGAUACCAGAAGCGCCCUACCCAGAGACACGUUUGGUGUUCGACACAUAGGCCUACUGGUACAGCCCCACACCCAUGUCAAGAUUGCCUCCUAUGCCGACGUUUGUCUAUUCGUUAAUUUGCAGGGACGACAUUAAAACUGCAAUCUAAUUGGCUGACUGUAGAAGGCACGUGACUGAUGGAACCACGCCCAGCCUUCUGCCCGUAUUAAGGAACUGGACACACUCAUGCAAACGAGCGCACACGUACAUACAGUUAUAACGAUUGAACAGGUUUAUGAACUGGUGAACUGGCGCGUGAUCUUGUUGUGAUUUUAAAAACGUUUUAGGAUUACAUAUUGAUUUUCUUAAGUUGAAAUGAUUUACUGAUGUAAUUCAUAAGCCAUAUACCUUAGGUAUGAAUCAUAAUUCUUUUUAAUUGUUCCAAACAACUAGCUCAGAUGAAUCUGAUUCCAUUAAAACCCUUUCGGCUACCUCAAACUGUCUACACGAUUAAUUAAACUUUGGGGAUAAAGGUGUUUUUUCAUCGUAUAGUUGGUGUGAUCUCUGGUAAGUUCAUUCUUUAAAGUCGAUUAGCUAUCACAUAUUUUUUCUUAAUUGACAUUGUAGAAUUGCAUUAUUAAUUUUAGGAGUUUAUUACGAUGUAAUCGUAAACCAACGCGUUACGAAGUAUUUCACCCGAAUAAAAGUACAUUUCUUUU